GAGAUCUUACUUCUAGGGAUCAUUUCUAUAGUACAUAUCACCAGGAUCACAGACAGACUUGACUAUCAAUCAGUGAGAUAGCUCAAAACUGC
This 92-nucleotide small nucleolar RNA is filed under the name Trichobilharzia regenti. RNAcentral's name for it is "Small nucleolar RNA U3". The stretch from base 1 to 41 matches the Rfam family "Small nucleolar RNA U3", at positions 1 to 41 of the family's 219-position model. The record is from Rfam by way of RNAcentral. Lineage: Eukaryota; Metazoa; Platyhelminthes; Trematoda; Strigeidida; Schistosomatidae.